This 468-nucleotide ribosomal RNA is filed under the name uncultured bacterium. Its description in RNAcentral is "partial 16S ribosomal RNA". It matches the Rfam family "Bacterial small subunit ribosomal RNA", at positions 28 to 507 of the family's 1533-position model. The record is from RNAcentral.
GACGAACGCUGGCGGCGUGCUUAACACAUGCAAGUCGAACGGAAAGGCCCUGCUUUUGUGGGGUGCUCGAGUGGCGAACGGGUGAGUAACACGUGAGUAACCUGCCCUUGACUUUGGGAUAACUUCAGGAAACUGGGGCUAAUACCGGAUAGGAGCUCCUGCUGCAUGGUGGGGGUUGGAAAGUUUCGGCGGUUGGGGAUGGACUCGCGGCUUAUCAGCUUGUUGGUGGGGUAGUGGCUUACCAAGGCUUUGACGGGUAGCCGGCCUGCGAGGGUGACCGGCCACAUUGGAACUGAGAUGCGGCCCAGACUCCUACGGGAGGCAACAGUGGGGAAUAUUGCACAAUGGGCGGAAGCCUGAUGCAGCAACGCCGCGUGCGGGAUGACGGCCUUCGGGUUGUAAACCGCUUUCGCCUGUGACGAAGCGUGAGUGACGGUAACGGGUAAAGAAGCACCGGCUAACUACGUG